This is a long non-coding RNA of Dicentrarchus labrax (European seabass), 1332 nucleotides long. RefSeq lists it as uncharacterized. NCBI's taxonomy places the organism in Eukaryota, Metazoa, Chordata, Actinopteri, Moronidae. The record is from RefSeq and is a predicted model, not a curated record. The transcript has 2 exons.
GGGAGAGAGAGAGAGAGAGAAAUACACAAGGAGGAGAGUGAGACGCUCAGCAGAGAAGAAGGAGAGAGACACAAGUUGCCGAAAGAGGAAGUGUUGUUUACUCGGAAGCCAGGACACCCUCAACAGCAUGAACACCAACAGUCUAAGGUAAGCAUGUGGAUGAUCACCAGCCGUCAAGUCAAGUCCCAGGUUGAGGUUAAUGCUAAUCGUGAUAGGGGUUGUUCAUUACAAGACACCUAACAUGUUAGCAUUAGCUUCACUCUGGGAGAUCUCACAGAAAGCCACCACGGCUACAUCCAACACUGAAGCCAUCUUCCAACUGAGGAAUAUAAGGCAUAAACAGAGACAACGUGAAAAGUGGACCAACAACUGUGUGUCACCGCUACCAAAGCCUUUCCUGCUCUAAAAGUUUUUUAUUCAAAACUUUGCAAAUCUCUGCUGGUUGCAGCUGGCAGUAGGGACUUCACCAUCUGUUGCCUGGUGGAGAUCUGCACUGAACUGGGUGCCCUCUUCUGGUAGUUCAUGGGAAAGAUAAUUACAAAAAGCCAGCCAGCUUUUGUUUUUUAUUGUGCCAUCCCAAGAUAUUCAGUGACCCCACCUGGGCAACAGUAUGAAAGCUUUCUGGGCACCACUUCUUAAACCAUUGCAUAAAGGAACACUUUAGUAGUCUGUAUUAAUGAAUUAAUGAAUGAAUGAAUGUGUGCCUAUAAAGACACAGAGGGUCCAAUCACUGUUGGUGAUUUUUAUUUUUUAAGAAAAACUGAAUGAUGAAGUGUUAAGAAAACGUAAAUAUCUCAUAAAUCUUUGACUUCCGCUUGACAAUAAAUGCAUUGUCACAAUGUUGGAAACAGAUCUGUUUUCAUUAACAACUGAUGCUUUGGAGAUAUAGCAAUAUGAUAUUUAACACGAGUUGCAUAAUGAUUUUUAUUGCAGUAUUUAGUCAUUGUGACAGAUCAUAAUCUUCCCUUUGCUGUGCUCAAUUUUCCUGUUGUGAAUAAAUUGCUCCAGCAGAUAUAACUGCACUGUGUCUGAAAAGGCAGCAGUUCGAGACAAAGAAUAGACACAAAACAACUAAAUCUCAAUCACAGUUCAACUAGUGAAAAAUCCUCUGGCCAGUUUAUCCUCAAACAAACCAAAAACAUGCAUUUGUGAUGAAAUUCACUUGGAUAUUUUCUCAUUUAUAUUUUGUGCCUUUUGCUUUUGGUUAGUUGAACAAAGCUUCAGACAAAAGCUGGAUUCAGACUGUUCCACUGAUACCUGACUUUUGUAUUCUGUUUGGAAUCUACAUUGUAAUGUAUGUGCAUGACAAGAAAAUAAAAUCAAUCAAAAUCA